RNAcentral lists this ribosomal RNA (568 nucleotides) under uncultured archaeon. RNAcentral describes it as "bacterial SSU rRNA". It matches the Rfam family "Archaeal small subunit ribosomal RNA", at positions 311 to 879 of the family's 1478-position model. The record is from RNAcentral.
CGCGAAUUCGCCCUUCGGGGUGCAGCAGGCGCGAAAACUCUACCAUGUAGGCAACUGCGAUAGGGGGACAUCGAGUGGCAUCCACCUUGGGUGCCUGUCCAACCGUCUAAAAAACGGUUGUUAGCAAGGGCCGGGUAAGUCCGGUGCCAGCCGCCGCGGUAAUACCGGCGGCUCGAGUGGUGGCCGAUAUUAUUGAGUCUAAAGGGUCCGUAGCCGGCUUUGCAAGUCCCCUGGGAAAUCCAGCGGCUUAACCGUUGGGCUUUCAUGGGAUACUACAUUGCUUGGGACUGGGAGAGGUAGGAGGUACUCGGGGGGUAGGGGUGAAAUCCUGUAAUUCUCCGGGGACCACCGGUGGCGAAGGCGUCCUACCAGAACAGGUCCGACGGUGAGGGACGAAAGCUAGGGGCACGAACCGGAUUAGAUACCCGGGUAGUCCUAGCCGUAAACGAUGCCCGCUAGGUGUCACGACGGUCGUGAAUCGUCGUGGUGCCGUAGGGAAGCCGCGAAGCGGGCCACUUGGGAAGUACGGCCGCAAGGCUGAAACUUAAAGGAAUUGGCGGGGGAGCAC